CUACGGGGCGCAGCAGUGUGGAAUAUUGCGCAAUGGGGGAAACCCUGACGCAGCGACGCCGCGUGGAUGAUGAAGGCUUUCGGGUCGUAAAAUCCUGUCAGAAGGGAAGAAAUGCUAUAUGCCUAAUAUGUGUAUAGUUUGACGGUACCUUCAAAGGAAGCACCGGCUAACUCCGUGCCAGCAGCCGCGGUAAUACGGAGGGUGCAAGCGUUGUUCGGAAUUACUGGGCGUAAAGCGCGCGUAGGCGGCCUUUUAAGUCAGAUGUGAAAGUCCACGGCUCAACCGUGGAAGUGCAUUUGAUACUGGGAGGCUUGAGUACUGGAGGGGAUGGUGGAAUUCCCGGUGUAGAGGUGAAAUUCGUAGAUAUCGGGAGGAAUACCGGUGGCGAAGGCGACCAUCUGGCCAGAUACUGACGCUGAGGUGCGAAAGCGUGGGGAGCAAACAGGAUUAGAUACCCCCGUAGUC
RNAcentral lists this ribosomal RNA (465 nucleotides) under uncultured bacterium. RNAcentral's name for it is "partial 16S ribosomal RNA". It matches the Rfam family "Bacterial small subunit ribosomal RNA", at positions 339 to 795 of the family's 1533-position model. The record is from RNAcentral.